AGGGCAGUAGUUCAACUGGUAGAGCACCGGUCUCCAAAACCGGGGGUUGGGGGUUCAAAUCCCUUCUGCCCUGCUA
Molecule: transfer RNA, 76 nt
Filed under: Candidatus Allofontibacter lacus
Lineage: Bacteria; Pseudomonadati; Pseudomonadota; Alphaproteobacteria; Candidatus Pelagibacterales; Candidatus Pelagibacteraceae
Also listed under: 1 other name
Description: tRNA-Trp
Rfam family: tRNA
About the family: Transfer RNA (tRNA) molecules are approximately 80 nucleotides in length. Their secondary structure includes four short double-helical elements and three loops (D, anti-codon, and T loops).
Source: RNAcentral